GCCUAGCCCUAAACCUAAAUAGUUAUAUAACAAAACUAUUCGCCAGAGUACUACUCGCAACAGCCUAAAACUCAAAGGACUUGGCGGUGCUUCACAUCCACCUAGAGGAGCCUGUUCUAUAAUCGAUAAACCCCGAUAAACCUUACCAACUCUUGCCAAUUCAGCCUAUAUACCGCCAUCUUCAGCAAACCCUAAAAAGGAAUAAUAGUAAGCACAAUCAUUUCACAUAAAAACGUUAGGUCAAGGUGUAGCUUAUGAGUUGGAAAGAAAUGGGCUACAUUUUCUGAACAAGAAUAUUAAUCAACGAAAGUUUUUAUGAAAUUAAAAACUAAAGGAGGAUUUAGCAGUAAAUCAAGAAUAGAGUGCUUGAUUGAAUAAGGCCAUGAAG
Molecule: ribosomal RNA, 388 nt
Filed under: Babyrousa babyrussa (babirusa)
Lineage: Eukaryota; Metazoa; Chordata; Mammalia; Artiodactyla; Suidae
Description: partial 12S ribosomal RNA
Rfam family: Bacterial small subunit ribosomal RNA
Source: RNAcentral